This 207-nucleotide ribosomal RNA is filed under the name uncultured bacterium. RNAcentral describes it as "partial 16S ribosomal RNA". It matches the Rfam family "Bacterial small subunit ribosomal RNA", at positions 568 to 774 of the family's 1533-position model. The record is from RNAcentral.
UGCGUAGGUGGCCGGGUAAGUCUGACGUGAAAUCUCCGAGCCUAACUCGGAAACUGCAUCGGAUACUAUCCGGCUCGAGGGUUGGAGGGGGGACUGGAAUACUUGGUGUAGCAGUGAAAUGCGUAGAUAUCAAGUGGAACACCAGUGGCGAAGGCGAGUCCCUGGACAACUCCUGACACUGAGGCACGAAAGCUAGGGGAGCAAACA